GUCCCCAACUAAGUGCCGAGCCCCCAAUUCCAGCGCCGCUCCGUCCCUAUCCUCGCCGUACGCCAACCCUUAACUGAGCGCGAGGACCUCGGCAAGGCGCUCAGGGACUGAGACCUGUGGGGGCCCUUCUUCUUCAUCAUCUUCCUCGGUCUCACCGUCUCCAGGUCGGCCUCCGUUAAGGUGUUAAGAUCUAGUUGUUGGCUAUAAUCUGGUGUGUGCAGAAUGGAUAUUGUGGACUCCGACAGCAACAGAUAUCCUUAUUUAAG
Panicum virgatum (switchgrass) is the source of this 266-nucleotide long non-coding RNA. RefSeq lists it as uncharacterized. NCBI's taxonomy places the organism in Eukaryota, Viridiplantae, Streptophyta, Magnoliopsida, Poales, Poaceae. The record is from RefSeq and is a predicted model, not a curated record. The transcript has 2 exons.